This 56-nucleotide non-coding RNA is filed under the name Variovorax paradoxus EPS. RNAcentral's name for it is "chromate-resist RNA". It matches the Rfam family "chrB-b RNA". The record is from RNAcentral. Lineage: Bacteria; Pseudomonadati; Pseudomonadota; Betaproteobacteria; Burkholderiales; Comamonadaceae.
CCGGGGAAACAGCCUCCCGGUCUGUAAAGACAGACGGUGUCCCGUCCAAGUGCUGC